GCUUAACGCGAAGAACCUUACCAACCCUUGACAUGGGACGUAUGGACUUCAGAGAUGAGGUUCUUCAGUUCGGCUGGCGCCCACACAGGUGCUGCAUGGCUGUCGUCAGCUCGUGUCGUGAGAUGUUGGGUUAAGUCCCGCAACGAGCGCAACCCUCAUCUUCAGUUGCCAUCAUUUAGUUGGGCACUCUGAAGAAACUGCCGGUGACAAGCCGGAGGAAGGCGGGGAUGACGUCAAGUCCUCAUGGCCCUUACGGGUUGGGCUACACACGUGCUACAAUGGUGGUGACAAUGGGGAGCGAGGCCGCGAGGCCAAGCCAAUCUCAAAAAGCCAUCUCAGUUCGGAUUGCACUCUGCAACUCGAGUGCAUGAAGUUGGAAUCGCUAGUAAUCGCGCAUCAGCAUGGCGCGGUGAAUACGUUCCCGGGUCUUGUACACACCG
Molecule: ribosomal RNA, 440 nt
Filed under: uncultured bacterium
Lineage: Bacteria
Description: bacterial SSU rRNA
Rfam family: Bacterial small subunit ribosomal RNA
Source: RNAcentral